AUUCAGCUAGCUAAGUGGUAAAAGUGUUCCAUUCAAAUGUGAGAAGUCCAAGGUUCAAAUCUUGGUUUGGGUC
Molecule: non-coding RNA, 73 nt
Organism: Gymnothorax javanicus (giant moray)
Lineage: Eukaryota; Metazoa; Chordata; Actinopteri; Anguilliformes; Muraenidae
Source: the annotation of a GenBank genome assembly